Long non-coding RNA from Hordeum vulgare subsp. vulgare (domesticated barley), 526 nucleotides. RefSeq lists it as uncharacterized. The transcript is spliced from 3 exons. NCBI's taxonomy places the organism in Eukaryota, Viridiplantae, Streptophyta, Magnoliopsida, Poales, Poaceae. The record is from RefSeq and is a predicted model, not a curated record.
UGACGUUGUAACCAUGAUUUGGCAGAUGUACAUGCAGAUGUGGAAUAGCACCACCCUAGUAUGGUUGUAACUCCAGCGACUCAGCGGGAUAUACGAUGCUGUUUCACUCCCCCAUCAUGUGAUUGGCAGCUCACAGGAGCCAUCUAACUUCUUGUAAGAUGAUGAAGGUUUUAUGUAAGGAAGCUACCUUUUUGUUAUAUAGCUAGCGAACCCAUGGAUGAUUUCCUUCUUCACUUUCACAAACUAUUUUCUACUCAAAAGCAGAAUGUUGCUUUGCUUCAUGACAAGUACUAGAGUUCAUGCUCGAGAAGAAGACGCAAGCCAGAGUUGAUGCGAGAGGAGCUUGUGGAGGCCAAGGAGAAAUCCGCAAAGUAUCAGUUGUUACUUAAAAGAGUUGGUGCCAUGUUAUGUUACUGGUUCUAUAAUUAUAAUAAGUUACUUGUGGACAAUGUGGACAACGUCCAUUUUAUGAACAUGGUGUAAUGGUACAAAGUAACUAGUUGUUUUUUCUGGUUGGCAGAUCUUA